AUUGAACGCUGGCGGCAUGCUUUACACAUGCAAGUCGAACGGUAACAGGCCGCAAGGUGCUGACGAGUGGCGAACGGGGGCGUAAUGCAUCGGAACGUGCCCAGUCGUGGGGGAUAACUACUCGCAAGAGUAGCUAAUACCGCAUACGGUCUAUGAAUGAAAGCGGGGGACCGUAAGAGCUCGCGCGAUUGGAGCGGCCGAUGUCAGAUUAGGUAGUUGGUGGGGUAAAGGCUCACCAAGCCAACGAUCUGUAGCUGGUCUGAGAGGACGAGCAGCCACACUGGGACUGAGACACGGCCCAGACUCCUACGGGAGGCAGCAGUGGGGAAUUUUGGACAAUGGGCGCAAGCCUGAUCCAGCAAUGCCGCGUGCAGGAAGAAGGCCUUCGGGUUGUAAACUGCUUUUGUACGGAACGAAACGGCUCUGGUUAAUACCCGGGGCUAAUGACGGUACCGUAAGAAUAAGCACCGGCUAACUACGUG
RNAcentral lists this ribosomal RNA (482 nucleotides) under uncultured bacterium. RNAcentral describes it as "partial 16S ribosomal RNA". It matches the Rfam family "Bacterial small subunit ribosomal RNA", at positions 30 to 507 of the family's 1533-position model. The record is from RNAcentral.